GGACUCGAUAAAUAGAAGAGGGAAGGAGACUCUGGGGGGACCAGGAGGGGGAAGCCACCCGGCAGAGCUUCAUCCUUCGCACUCCCGACGGAGCCCAACAUUCUUGGCGACCUCGGCCUCCCGCCCCAGAGACGCGUUAAGCUGAACGUGGCUGGCUCUCUUAAAGGAGCCUCGCGCAGGAUGGGGUGGGAGAGCCGUCCUGGUCCCCGGGACGUUCAUGAUUGUCGCAGGAGUGAAUCAAAUCCCAUUAUGCCAGCCAAGCAGUGGUGGCGCACACCUUUAAUCCCAGCACUCGGAAGACAGAGGCAGGUGGAUCUCUGGUGCAUUUGUUACUUUUCUGUUGCUAUGAUACAACAGUUCCACUAAAGGCAACUUAAGGAGGAGAGAGAUUCUUUUGCUUACACUUCAGAGGGAUAAGUGCCGCCCACCGUCCACCACAGCAGUGUCCACCGUAGCAGGGAAGCCUGGCAGCAAGCAGCAGGCACAGAGCUUGAGAAGGAAGCCGAGCUCAUGCGUAUCUCAGCCACAGGCACGAAGCAGAGAGCAACCUGAAAGCAAUUUGAGGCCUUUAAUCUCAAAGUCCACCUGUGGUGUCUGAAAGAAAAUGACCCCCAAAGGGAGUGGCACUAUUAGGAGGUGUGGCCUUGGUGGAGGAUGGUGUUACUGUGGGGGUGGGCUUUGAGGUCUCUCUCUCAAGCUUCCCACAGGGUGACAGUCAGUUGACUUCCUG
Molecule: long non-coding RNA, 730 nt
Filed under: Cricetulus griseus (Chinese hamster)
Lineage: Eukaryota; Metazoa; Chordata; Mammalia; Rodentia; Cricetidae
Description: lncRNA (ENSCGRG00015040893.1)
Source: RNAcentral